Molecule: long non-coding RNA, 1126 nt
Filed under: Triticum aestivum (bread wheat)
Lineage: Eukaryota; Viridiplantae; Streptophyta; Magnoliopsida; Poales; Poaceae
Description: long non-coding RNA (TAES_LNC009693)
Source: RNAcentral
GAUUACUGAGCAAACAGCAGCACAUGUUUGCGACGGCUCUUCUUGCUAUCUUUUCUCCCCAAUCCUGAAGUCAUGACAAUGGAGAAACAUAAAGCCUUCAUUGAUUUCUUUAACAAUGGCCUACCAUGGAGAAUGAAAUACUCUUUGCACGACACCAAACCAAAAGUAAAAUUGACAGUUAGAUGGCAAACUUUCAUUGGUUUCGUGUCCUGCAAUGUGAUGUGAUAUGACUGACGUUCCCUGUCUCUUGUUGAUGCAGUAUUUUUUUUUGAGUAAAAGGGGUUUCCCCCUGAUUUCCAUUAAUAUAAACAUUAGAGGUUCACAACAUGACCAGCCAAAAGGAAAGGCUAUCUAACAUAACCAGAUCACCAACAUCCCUAAAGCAACCUUGGGAUAGAAGAUCCCGCAGGAGCCCAGCAUGUUCGAAGAGUAAAGACGCAGCUCUGUUUUCCAACCAAGCAUCGCCCAGCAUCAGAGAAGGGCUACCAAAACAGAUCAUUUAUUUAUUUUUUGCGAGGGAACAUAUAACGAGAUCAUAACCAACAGCAUAUCAAACAGGAUCCCCUAAAUGUUCAUUUUCCUUCCUUGAGCCACCUGUGAUCUGAAGAACUCCGGGGGCGCCAUCCUCUGGAUGCAGUGAAUAUCCCAUUUGCUACUCGUUCUAGUUGUUUGCAGUAUGUGUGUGCGUGUCUGAAUCAAUUAUAACCUACACGGCUACAACAAUAAAGACCAGAUGAACUUUCCGUUUUGAUUGGACCUUGCUUAAUUUACCGGAUGAACUUUGCUGAAAUAAUAAUUGGUACUGUAGCAUUUACUAUGCAGAUAAACAAAAUUGGAAGCUUGACGCUCUGCGGCGACUCACUCCAUGUCAAGAUAAACACCAAGAUUAAGAUGAAGAAACAGAAAUAGACGGAACUAGAAAUCAGAAAUUGUGCUAGGCAAUUACUCCAGUAAUCAGUAAUCACCUCCGGUGCCCUUGGUGGCCGCCCCCUGCCGCCGAUCUGGUCGGCCGCGCUCCGGGCAAGGGCUGGGGGAGAAGGGAAGACUUCCUGUUGGUAUCCACUGAUCUCGGGCACCGACGCCUCCGAAGCUCCGACUGCUUGGAGCCUUUGCUUGCUGCGCUUUG